RNAcentral lists this ribosomal RNA (450 nucleotides) under uncultured bacterium. RNAcentral's name for it is "partial 16S ribosomal RNA". It matches the Rfam family "Bacterial small subunit ribosomal RNA", at positions 354 to 796 of the family's 1533-position model. The record is from RNAcentral.
GUGGGGAAUAUUGGACAAUGGGCGAAAGCCUGAUCCAGCCAUGCCGCGUGUGUGAAGAAGGUCUUCGGAUUGUAAAGCACUUUAAGUUGGGAGGAAGGGCAGUAAGUUAAUACCUUGCUGUUUUGACGUUACCGACAGAAUAAGCCCCGGCUAACUUCGUGCCAGCAGCCGCGGUAAUACGAAGGGUGCAAGCGUUAAUCGGAAUUACUGGGCGUAAAGCGCGCGUAGGUGGUUUUGUAAGUUGGAGGUGAAAUCCCCGGGCUCAACCUGGGAACUGCCUCCAAAACUACUGGGCUAGAGUACGGUAGAGGGUAGUGGAAUUUCCUGUGUAGCGGUGAAAUGCGUAGAUAUAGGAAGGAACACCAGUGGCGAAGGCGACUACCUGGACUGAUACUGACACUGAGGUGCGAAAGCGUGGGGAGCAAACAGGAUUAGAUACCCCAGUAGUCC